UACGAAGGGGGCUAGCGUUGCUCGGAAUCACUGGGCGUAAAGCGCACGUAGGCGGCUUGUUAAGUCAGGGGUGAAAUCCCAGAGCUCAACUCUGGAACUGCCUUUGAUACUGGGUAUCUUGAGUAUGGAAGAGGUGAGUGGAAUUCCGAGUGUAGAGGUGAAAUUCGUAGAUAUUCGGAGGAACACCAGUGGCGAAGGCGGCUCACUGGUCCAUUACUGACGCUGAGGUGCGAAAGCGUGGGGAGCAAACAGG
This 253-nucleotide ribosomal RNA is filed under the name uncultured bacterium. Its description in RNAcentral is "partial 16S ribosomal RNA". It matches the Rfam family "Bacterial small subunit ribosomal RNA", at positions 524 to 776 of the family's 1533-position model. The record is from RNAcentral.